ACGGGAGGCAGCAGUGGGGAAUAUUGCACAAUGGGAGAAAUCCUGAUGCAGCGACGCCGCGUGAGUGAAGAAGUGCUUCGGUAUGUAAAGCUCUAUCAGCAGGGAAGAAAAUGACGGUACCUGACUAAGAAGCCCCGGCUAACUACGUGCCAGCAGCCGCGGUAAUACGUCGGGGGCAAGCGUUAUCUGGAUUUACUGGGUGUAAAGGGAGCGUAGACGGCGAUGCAAGUCUGAUGUGAAAUGCGGGGGCUCAACCCCUGGACUGCAUUGGAAACUGUAUUGCUGGAGUGCCGGAGAGGUAAGCGGAAUUCCUAGUGUAGCGGUGAAAUGCGUAGAUAUUAGGAGGAACACCAGUGGCGAAGGCGGCUUACUGGACGGUAACUGACGUUGAGGCUCGAAAGCGUGGGGAGCAAACAGGAUUAGAUACCCUGGUA
This 434-nucleotide ribosomal RNA is filed under the name uncultured Lachnospiraceae bacterium. RNAcentral describes it as "partial 16S ribosomal RNA". It matches the Rfam family "Bacterial small subunit ribosomal RNA", at positions 341 to 792 of the family's 1533-position model. The record is from RNAcentral. Lineage: Bacteria; Bacillati; Bacillota; Clostridia; Lachnospirales; Lachnospiraceae.